AAACAGAUGCUAAUACCGGAUAAAAGCUACUUCGCAUGAAAGAAGUUUAAAAGGACGGCGUAAGCUGUCGCUAAAGGAUGGACCUGCGAUGCAUUAGCUAGUUGGUAAGGUAACGGCUUACCAAGGCGAUGAUGCAUAGCCGAGUUGAGAGACUGAUCGGCCACAUUGGGACUGAGACACGGCCCAAACUCCUACGGGAGGCAGCAGGC
RNAcentral lists this ribosomal RNA (209 nucleotides) under uncultured Lactobacillus sp. RNAcentral's name for it is "partial 16S ribosomal RNA". It matches the Rfam family "Bacterial small subunit ribosomal RNA", at positions 154 to 354 of the family's 1533-position model. Lineage: Bacteria; Bacillati; Bacillota; Bacilli; Lactobacillales; Lactobacillaceae. The record is from RNAcentral.